This 1142-nucleotide long non-coding RNA is filed under the name Triticum aestivum (bread wheat). RNAcentral's name for it is "long non-coding RNA (TAES_LNC010908)". Lineage: Eukaryota; Viridiplantae; Streptophyta; Magnoliopsida; Poales; Poaceae. The record is from RNAcentral.
GAAGGGAGUACUAAAUAAAUGAAAUAUGUAAAUUCAUUUCAUGACGAAUCUAAAAAUCAGACUUGAUAUUAUAGAUAUUGAUAUAUUUCCACACAAAUUCGGUCAAACUUAAAUAGGUUUGACAGUUAAAAAAAGUAAUACACCUUAUAUUUUGAAAUAGAUGGAGUAAAAAAAGUAUGAAAACCCAAUUACAUCAACGACGCAGCAAAGCGCGCCCAACUCUUCUAGUAAACACUAAAGCCGAAGUCAUUCAAAUGUAAAUCAAGCUAUAAGCUUCAAAUUUGUGUAUGAAUACAAAGAGAAGCAUGGCCAUUCUGCAAUGUUGACAGAUUAUUAUCAUCCUUCAAAAAGUGUAAUGGACAAAUGAGAUAAAAAUAGAGAAAGAGGUCAGCACCGAGUAAUGAAAUGAAGGACAAAUCUGUCCAAUUGAUAACCUCUCCGUCAUGCAGUCAGUAGCCUUGAAGAGGACAAUUAGUUUAUCAAAGAAGCUGGGCAUGAAAGGUUAAACAUAGCAAAACAAGGGACAAAAAGUUAAAACACAUAUAUGCUGGCACCAUACUUGAAGGGCAAUGAUAAACUGCACCUUUUAGAUUAGCAAAACAUAGCACCGGCACUUGUUCUUAAAAGGAUAAUACUACAAAACGUAUAGCAGCGUAAUAUGUGCACAACGACUGUAAAAUAAGUCAAUGUUUUUUAAGUCGAGAUAGUAAAUCAUAAUGAAAUGCAUUAGUUCUACCAAGAAUACCACCAUUAUUGAUUUUAGAACACGAACACACUCAAAAUACAAUAUUUUAAUUAUAUAAGAAGCUAUAUCUAUUGGGAAAUAAGCAUAGAUCUGUAGGGAGGAGAGCGAAAGAAACUUUCAGGUUUCGCUUUACCUAUGGGUGCCUUUAUCUAACCUUUGUUGCUAAACUGAAAAAGAAAUAAGCUGUAAGAACGAAAUACAUACGACCACAGGAAGGAAGCCAAAGUUUCAAGUUUUUAGACAUGAAGUUGCUUUAGCUACACCUUUAGUAUAAACAUUCCUGAGUUCAGCUCCCUAAUGUCCCUUGAGGUGAUCAAGACAUCCAAGGAUAUGGUAGUGAGUUUCAUUAGUAAAUUAGCCCAACAACUCUGCACUUCAGAAUAUUACUGUCACCUAC